AUACGGAGGAUCCGAGCGUUAUCCGGAUUUAUUGGGCUUAAAGGGUGCGCAGGCGGCCAUUUAAGUCAGCGGUUAAAUCGUGGGGCUCCACCCCAUUCUGCCGUUGAUACUGGGUGGCUUGAUUGCGGUCGAGGUUGGCGGAAUUCGUUGUGUUGCGGGGAAAUGCAUAGAUAUGACGAAGAACACCGAUUGCGUAGGCAGCUGACCAGAUCGCAAAUGACGCUCAUGCACGAAAGUGCGGGGAUCGAACAGGAUUAGAUACCCUGGUAGUCCGCACAGUAAACGAUGAAUACUUGUUUUCGGCGAUAUAAUGUCGGAGGCAAAGCGAAAGCGAUAAGUAUUCCACCUGGGGAGUACGCCGGCAACGGUGAAACUCAAAUGAAUUGACGGGG
Molecule: ribosomal RNA, 392 nt
Filed under: uncultured bacterium
Lineage: Bacteria
Description: partial 16S ribosomal RNA
Rfam family: Bacterial small subunit ribosomal RNA
Source: RNAcentral